RNAcentral lists this ribosomal RNA (691 nucleotides) under uncultured bacterium. Its description in RNAcentral is "bacterial SSU rRNA". It matches the Rfam family "Bacterial small subunit ribosomal RNA", at positions 8 to 694 of the family's 1533-position model. The record is from RNAcentral.
AGAGUUUGAUCCUGGCUCAGAUUGAACGCUGGCGGCAGGCCUAACACAUGCAAGUCGAGCGGAUGAGAGGAGCUUGCUCCUUGAUUUAGCGGCGGACGGGUGAGUAAUGCCUAGGAAUCUGCCUGGUAGUGGGGGAUAACGUUCCGAAAGGAACGCUAAUACCGCAUACGUCCUACGGGAGAAAGCAGGGGACCUUCGGGCCUUGCGCUAUCAGAUGAGCCUAGGUCGGAUUAGCUAGUUGGUGAGGUAAUGGCUCACCAAGGCGACGAUCCGUAACUGGUCUGAGAGGAUGAUCAGUCACACUGGAACUGAGACACGGUCCAGACUCCUACGGGAGGCAGCAGUGGGGAAUAUUGGACAAUGGGCGAAAGCCUGAUCCAGCCAUGCCGCGUGUGUGAAGAAGGUCUUCGGAUUGUAAAGCACUUUAAGUUGGGAGGAAGGGCAUUAACCUAAUACGUUAGUGUUUUGACGUUACCGACAGAAUAAGCACCGGCUAACUUCGUGCCAGCAGCCGCGGUAAUACGAAGGGUGCAAGCGUUAAUCGGAAUUACUGGGCGUAAAGCGCGCGUAGGUGGUUCGUUAAGUUGGAUGUGAAAGCCCCGGGCUCAACCUGGGAACUGCAUCCAAAACUGGCGAGCUAGAGUACGGUAGAGGGUGGUGGAAUUUCCUGUGUAGCGGUGAAAUGCGUAGA